Molecule: small nuclear RNA, 107 nt
Filed under: Sciurus vulgaris (Eurasian red squirrel)
Lineage: Eukaryota; Metazoa; Chordata; Mammalia; Rodentia; Sciuridae
Source: RNAcentral
GUGCUUGCUUCGGCAGUACAUAUGCUAAAAUUGGAACAAUACAGAAAAGAUUAGCAUGGCUCCUGUGCAAGGAUGACAUGCAAAUUCGUGAAGCAUUCCAUAUUUUU